CCCCUUUAGGGUUUGCUUGCGAUGAAGAAGCGCCGCCGAUCUGAUUUCUCACAAAAGCAUUCAAAUUCCUUCCCCAAAUGCUAUGUUUCGGUAGAUCUCUCAGUACUGGGUUCACUUCUUACAAGUGAGAAGUACAAUGGCAUGAGUGGAGUCGGAAAAAGAUGGAAGAGUCUAGUUUUACUCAGCUUGCAAUUUCAAAAAUGUGCAUCCGAAUUCAGUUGAUCCCAAUGAAGAACACAGUCCUCCAUAUUACAAUUUGGAUUAACCAAAUUAAUGAUAUGGAAUAGAUUUUACAAUUUCAUUGGUGUUCACCCUUACUGCAACAACCUAAUAUGAAAGGUAAUGCGCCUUUACAGAUUAUAGUGAGGAUUUGAAUGAAUAUAUGGAGAAUGGGGUUGGAGCAGAUAUGGUGAUGCUGAGGAUGACAAAUUUGGAGAAAGAAACAACAUUACACCAAGUAGUGUAAUAUCAUUAUCUCCAAGGAAUGAAGUUUGUUAUCGAAGAAGACCUCGAAUUUACCUAUGGUGCUAAUGAUACGAGGUCGAUUCUUCUUUACAUGGUUGCUGAGAGGGGGUUUGAAGACAUUAAAUAUGAUCAUCUACUUGCAUUUCACCAACUUAGUGUUAUCAUUGGUAGAACGGCCUUGCAUGAUACCAUAGUUUUCAAUGAUAAAGGUUUACUUCCUACACGUGAGAAAUAUCAUGGCAUAAGUGGAGUCGGAAAAAGGUAUGAAUAAUGUAUUUACUAUAUUAAGUGAAAUAAUGUUUUAUAAAGUUCUAUAAUGUAUUUGUGUUUAGUAGACAUUAUGUUUAAUAUUAGCAAUAGUAAUAAUAUUAAAAUUUGAGUUUGUACGCACGUUUGGUUGAUGAACCAUAAAUUUGCUUUGUAGUGGUUCAAACUCUUUUGGUGUUUUGUAGAAAUUUUUUUCUUAA
This is an RNA transcript of Vitis vinifera (wine grape), 932 nucleotides long. RefSeq lists it as uncharacterized. Lineage: Eukaryota; Viridiplantae; Streptophyta; Magnoliopsida; Vitales; Vitaceae. The transcript is spliced from 4 exons. The record is from RefSeq and is a predicted model, not a curated record.